RNAcentral lists this long non-coding RNA (277 nucleotides) under Anser brachyrhynchus (Pink-footed goose). RNAcentral's name for it is "lncRNA (ENSABRG00000009204.1)". Lineage: Eukaryota; Metazoa; Chordata; Aves; Anseriformes; Anatidae. The record is from RNAcentral.
CACAGCUAUGAGAACAAUAAGAUGCUCUAGACUGAUGUUUUCUGAGUGACUGUCUGUAAGACAGCAGUUGCUUUGUAAAGUCAACAGGCUUGCUUCAUAGCUGACCCCAGGCCCCUGAAAUCUCUCUGAUUCCACCUGCCAUUUGUGUUUUGACUGUCGUGUUUAGAAACAUUAUAUGAAAAUGGCCCUAACAGGCCUCUGAUGCUAAGAAUGAACUAGGAGCACCCCUAUUCUACAAACAAGUCACCAGUUUUUAGGACUCCUUUAAAAUGAAAGG